UAAGACGGAGGAGGCAAGCAUUGUCCGGAAUUAUUGGGCGUAAAGAACACGUAGGCGGUUUAUCAAGUCAUAUGUGAAAACCUUAGGCUUAACUUAAGGAUUGCAAAUGAUACUGGUAAGCUAGAGUACAGUAGAGGAAAGUGGAAUUCCUGGUGUAGCGGUGAAAUGCGCAGAUAUCAGGAAGAACACCAGUGGCGAAAGCGGCUUUCUGGACUGUUACUGACGCUGAGGUGUGAAAGCUAGGGGAGCGAACAGG
Molecule: ribosomal RNA, 256 nt
Filed under: uncultured bacterium
Lineage: Bacteria
Description: partial 16S ribosomal RNA
Rfam family: Bacterial small subunit ribosomal RNA
Source: RNAcentral